RNAcentral lists this ribosomal RNA (468 nucleotides) under uncultured bacterium. RNAcentral's name for it is "partial 16S ribosomal RNA". It matches the Rfam family "Bacterial small subunit ribosomal RNA", at positions 28 to 507 of the family's 1533-position model. The record is from RNAcentral.
GACGAACGCUGGCGGCGUGCUUAACACAUGCAAGUCGAACGGAAAGGCCCUGCUUUUGUGGGGUGCUCGAGUGGCGAACGGGUGAGUAACACGUGAGUAACCUGCCCUUGACUUUGGGAUAACUUCAGGAAACUGGGGCUAAUACCGGAUAGGAGCUCCUGCUGCAUGGUGGGGGUUGGAACGUUUCGGCGGUCGGGGAUGGACUCGCGGCUUAUCAGCUUGUUGGUGGGGUAGUGGCUUACCAAGGCUUUGACGGGUAGCCGGCCUGAGAGGGUGACCGGCAACAUUGGGACUGAGAUACGGCCCAGACUCCUACGGGAGGCAGCAGUGGGGAAUAUUGCACAAUGGGCGGAAGCCUGAUGCAGCAACGCCGCGUGCGGGAUGACGGCCUUCGGGUUGUAAACCGCUUUCGCCUGUGACGAAGCGUGAGUGACGGUAAUGGGUAAAGAAGCACCGGCUAACUACGUG